Molecule: ribosomal RNA, 463 nt
Filed under: Longitarsus aeneus
Lineage: Eukaryota; Metazoa; Arthropoda; Insecta; Coleoptera; Chrysomelidae
Description: partial 16S ribosomal RNA
Rfam family: Bacterial large subunit ribosomal RNA (bases 338-463)
Source: RNAcentral
UUUGAAUGGCCGCGGUAUUUUGACUGUGCUAAGGUAGCAUAAUCAUUAGUUUUUUAAUUAAAAGCUGGAAUAAAGGGUUGAAUGAAAGAUUAACUGUCUCUAAUUGAUUUUAUUAGAAUUUUAUUUUUAAGUUAAAAAGCUUAAAUAAUUUUAAAAGACGAGAAGACCCCAUAGAGUUUAAUAUAAUAAAUUUAUUAAUAUUUAGUAUUAAUUUUUUAUAAUAAUUAUUAUAUUUAGUUGGGGCGAUUUAAAAACUUAUAAAACUUUUUAUAUAUAUGAAUAUUAAUUAAUAAAUUUAUGAUCCAAUAAUUUUGAUUAUAAGGUAAAUUACCUUGGGGAUAACAGCGUAAUUUUAUUUGAGAGUUCUAAUCGAAAAUAAAGUUUGCGACCUCGAUGUUGGAUUAAAAUUUAUAUUUGGUGUAGAAGCUAAGUAUUUAAGUCUGUUCGACUUUUAAAAUUUUAC